Molecule: ribosomal RNA, 523 nt
Filed under: uncultured bacterium
Lineage: Bacteria
Description: bacterial SSU rRNA
Rfam family: Bacterial small subunit ribosomal RNA
Source: RNAcentral
AAUAGAUACCCAGGUAGUCCACGCCGUAAACGAUGAGUGCUAAGUGUUAGAGGGUUUCCGCCCUUUAGUGCUGCAGCUAACGCAUUAAGCACUCCGCCUGGGGAGUACGGCCGCAAGGCUGAAAACUCAAAGGAAUUGACGGGGGCCCGCACAAGCGGUGGAGCAUGUGGUUUAAUUCGAAGCAACGCGAAGAACCUUACCAGGUCUUGACAUCCUCUGCCAACCCUAGAGAUAGGGCGUUCCCCUUCGGGGGACAGAGUGACAGGUGGUGCAUGGUUGUCGUCAGCUCGUGUCGUGAGAUGUUGGGUUAAGUCCCGCAACGAGCGCAACCCUUGAUCUUAGUUGCCAGCAUUCAGUUGGGCACUCUAAGGUGACUGCCGGUGACAAACCGGAGGAAGGUGGGGAUGACGUCAAAUCAUCAUGCCCCUUAUGACCUGGGCUACACACGUGCUACAAUGGAUGGUACAAAGAGUUGCGAACCCGCGAGGGUAAGCCAAUCUCAUAAAGCCAUUCUCAGUUCGGA